GACAGAGGGUGCAAACGUUGUUCGGAAUUACUGGGCGUAAAGCGCGCGCAGGCGGCUAUCCAAGUCAGUGGUGAAAGCCCGGAGCUCAACUCCGGAACUGCCAUUGAAACUGUUUAGCUUGAGGAUGAGAGAGGUGAGUGGAAUUCCCAGUGUAGAGGUGAAAUUCGUAGAUAUUGGGAAGAACACCGGUGGCGAAGGCGGCUCACUGGCUCAUUACUGACGCUCAGGCGCGAUAGCGUGGGGAUCAAACAGG
Molecule: ribosomal RNA, 253 nt
Filed under: uncultured bacterium
Lineage: Bacteria
Description: partial 16S ribosomal RNA
Rfam family: Bacterial small subunit ribosomal RNA
Source: RNAcentral